RNAcentral lists this ribosomal RNA (818 nucleotides) under uncultured bacterium. RNAcentral's name for it is "bacterial SSU rRNA". It matches the Rfam family "Bacterial small subunit ribosomal RNA", at positions 61 to 835 of the family's 1533-position model. The record is from RNAcentral.
GUCGAACGCGUCUUGGUUAUUGAUGUUGGAUGCUUGCAUUUAACUGAUUUAACAUUGAGACGAGUGGCGAACUGGUGAGUAACACGUGGGUAACCUGCCCUUGAAGUAGGGGAUAACACUUGGAAACAGGUGCUAAUACCGUAUAACAACCAAAACCACCUGGUUUUGGUUUAAAAGAUGGCUUCGGCUAUCACUUUAGGAUGGACCCGCGGCGUAUUAGCUUGUUGGUAAGGUAACGGCCUACCAAGGCAAUGAUACGUAGCCGACCUGAGAGGGUAAUCGGCCACAUUGGGACUGAGACACGGCCCAAACUCCUACGGGAGGCAGCAGUAGGGAAUCUUCCACAAUGGACGAAAGUCUGAUGGAGCAACGCCGCGUGAGUGCUGAAGGGUUUCGGCUCGUAAAACUCUGUUGUUGGAGAAGAACAGGUGUGAGAGUAACUGUUCACAUCUUGACGGUAUCCAACCAGAAAGCCACGGCUAACUACGUGCCAGCAGCCGCGGUAAUACGUAGGUGGCAAGCGUUGUCCGGAUUUAUUGGGCGUAAAGCGAGCGCAGGCGGUUUCUUAGGUCUGAUGUGAAAGCCUUCGGCUUAACCGGAGAAGUGCAUCGGAAGCCAGGAGACUUGAGUGCAGAAGAGGACAGUGGAACUCCAUGUGUAGCGGUGAAAUGCGUAGAUAUAUGGAAGAACACCAGUGGCGAAGGCGGCUGUCUGGUCUGUAACUGACGCUGAGGCUCGAAAGCAUGGGUAGCGAACAGGAUUAGAUACCCUGGUAGUCCAUGCCGUAAACGAUGAGUGCUAAGUGUUGGAGGGUUUCC